Molecule: long non-coding RNA, 1049 nt
Filed under: Malus domestica (apple)
Lineage: Eukaryota; Viridiplantae; Streptophyta; Magnoliopsida; Rosales; Rosaceae
Description: long non-coding RNA (MDOM_LNC016221)
Source: RNAcentral
AACGACAAAAACACAAAUCCGUUGGGCUCGGGCGAACGUGUGUUGACUAAAUUGACUCGACAAAAUCCACUUGCCCGACGAAUGAUAUCUUGUCGGCUAGCACAUAAUUAAAUAUUGUAAUGAAUUUGACCCGACGGCCCAGUAGUAAGGCCAACUCUAAGAAACCAAAUUUAAAAUAUAUAUCAAUUUUUUUGUGCGACGAAAGUUUUUUUAAUUAAAAAAUAGGAAAAAUUAGUAUCAUGUCCCUAGUUACUAAUGUUCAUUAACUAAAACUUUAUUAGUUUUUAGAUUUUGAUCCAGGUCCCUAUCAUUAAUGUAAUAAUGAAUUUACAUGUCAAUUACAUAAUUUUUUAAAAUAAAAAUUAAUAAUUGAUUUAGGACUUUAAUACUCACACCUUUAUUAAACUCCUAACUAUUUUUUAAUUCAAAACAUUUCCAAAAUAAAUAAUAAAAAAUUAGAAUAAGUUUGUACGCAUUAGCUUUUUAAAAAAUGUUUUAAAUUUUUUUAAUCGUAUAUGCACCCAUUCAUGUAAUCUUUUUUUCCAAUUUUUAAUCUUAAAAUGUACCCGUUCUUAAAUAUACCAAUUUGUUAUAUAUAAAAUGUACCUUUUUUAUAUAUAAAAUCUAUUCAAUUUUUUUCUAACCAUUUUUAAACUUAUAUGGUUACAUUCCUUUCUUUUGAUUUGAGAAUGUAUCCAUGUCAAGAUUAAAUGUGACAACCCGUCCCAAAUGUUACGAUUUUAUAAAUUUUUAAGGGUUGUUAUUCAUUAAUAUAUUCAUUUCUUAUAGUUAUGGUUAUUUUUUAUUAAUUGAGGGGUUAAAGGAGGAAGGCUGUGGGAUGGCAGCAAAGUGGAGAGGGAGAGGUAGGAGGGAAAGGAUGGAGGGAGAGGGGUAGACUACCCGGGUCCCCCUCAACCCGUUUCUCCUUUGAAACCGAACCCCGGCGAGAAUACAUGAAACCAGGUGCUUUCUCAGGUCAAAUUCCGACGAAUUGCACCGGGCCAAUACCUGGGAACUUCUCCUUGGUCCUUCUUCUUCGAUUUCCUACA